Molecule: ribosomal RNA, 607 nt
Filed under: uncultured bacterium
Lineage: Bacteria
Description: bacterial SSU rRNA
Rfam family: Bacterial small subunit ribosomal RNA
Source: RNAcentral
AGAGUUUGAUCAUGGCUCAGAAUGAACGCUGGCGGCGUGCUUAACACAUGCAAGUCGUACGAGAACUCCUUAGCUUGCUAAGGAAAGUAAAGUGGCGUACGGGUGAGUAACGCGUGGGUAAUCUACCCCAUAAUUUGGGAUAACAUUGCGAAAGCGAUGCUAAUACCGAAUAAUAUCUGAUAACUACGGUUAUUCAGAUCAAAGGUGGCCUCUAUAUAUAAGCUACUGUUUUGGGAUGAGCCCGCGUACCAUUAGCUUGUUGGUAGGGUAAUGGCCUACCAAGGCUACGAUGGUUAGCUGGUCUGAGAGGAUGAUCAGCCACACUGGAACUGGCACACGGUCCAGACUCCUACGGGAGGCAGCAGUGGGGAAUUUUGCGCAAUGGGGGAAACCCUGACGCAGCAACGCCGCGUGAGUGAUGAAGGCUCUUGGGUCGUAAAGCUCUGUUAAGUGGGAAGAACCAAAAAAUGUAAAUAUCAUUUUUUCUGACGGUACCACUAGAGGAAGCACCGGCUAACUCCGUGCCAGCAGCCGCGGUAAUACGGGGGGUGCAAGCGUUAUUCGGAAUUAUUGGGCCUAAAGGGCGCGCAGGCCGCCGCUUAAGUCA